Long non-coding RNA from Homo sapiens (human), 560 nucleotides. The record is from Ensembl. NCBI's taxonomy places the organism in Eukaryota, Metazoa, Chordata, Mammalia, Primates, Hominidae.
GUGUAUGUCUUCCCUAGCAGGCAGAGAAACAAACAGCACAAACUAAGCUUGACCUUGUUGGAAAUACAGUUUAUCCACAGAGUGAAUGUUGGCUAAAAUUUAAUCUUAUGACAUCAGGAAUGUUCAAAGUUUACACAGGAGGGCCACUGUCAUAAGGACGCCUGGAAGAGUGAAGAAAGGCCUGAUUGAUCACAAGGUCCUAUCAAAUGUCAAAGCUGGCCCUGGCUGACCUCCCAUCUAUUCAGAGCUGCUUUGAUUUAAUCUCCAAACUGGCUGCUUCUCCAGGCUGUGAGUUCUAUCUGCAACCCAUGUGUCAGCAUUGAGAUAUGACCUGCUUCACGCUCCAUUCAUCUCAUUUGAAGGACGGAAAUUAAACUCGAGGGUCGAAGAGGGGAACUGCUCAAAAUACACACACACAUUAACUGAAGCCUUUUGUAGAAGAGAAUUGAAAAUUUCAAGAAGGCAAAGGUGAUGGAAGUGUCUUCAUGAGACCCUUGGGUAACAUAAAUUGGCAAAGAAUUGGAUGAUCUGGGUUCUAAGAUCUGGCCUUAAAACUAGCC